This 1811-nucleotide long non-coding RNA is filed under the name Equus caballus (horse). RNAcentral's name for it is "lncRNA (ENSECAG00000052698.1)". The record is from RNAcentral. Lineage: Eukaryota; Metazoa; Chordata; Mammalia; Perissodactyla; Equidae.
CGAAGAAAAGUCUAGUUGCUCUGCAAAUCUAGAGAGUUUCAGGAGAAACAAAGUUACCAGCUGAAGUAGUUGUCACUUACACAGAGGACAUCACGAAGUCUGUAUCAUCUGAGGCGUCCUUGCUGUCGUGAGAUUAGCUGCCAGUGGCUCCCAGGGCUGCUGGGGGCUGAAGAGAACCCCCUCCUGGCGACGCUUAGGUUCUCUUUCCCUGGCUCGCCCGCUCCCAUCUAGCAGUUUCCCUGGGAGCCCUCAGUAGGUGGUGUUGUAGGUGUGCAGAUGUGUGUGUACAUGUGCCCCGUGUGACGUCUGAAGACUAACCGCACGCUGUGUUUGCACGCUUCCUCCCCGGUGUCGGAGCAGGCAGCGUGUCGGGAGCGCAGAGGCUGGGACGCCGCCACGGUCAGGACUUACUCCUGCUGAAGCCCCGUGUUUACCCACACUACUUCUACAGAUGACCGUGCAGCGCUCGGGACCCGGCGAAGACGGCCUUUCAGAAUUCAGUGGAUCUACAAUCUGUUGAUACUUGUUAUAUGGACCCUAAGAUAUUUAUUACAGAGUUUUUAAUUAGUGAAAAUUCACGAAUACCAUAGAGAAAAUAUUUUAGAAUUUAAUGUUUCUUAUAUUUAUGUAAACAUAUGACUUCGUUUAUAUAGUUACUUACUUUUUCAUAUCCAGGCUAUAAAUAUCCUUUCAAAUCGAUUCUGUUCUUAUAUCUAAUUUUAGUCUUUCAAACAAAUGUACUGUAAUGCUUGUAUGUAUAAAUCCUAUGAAAAGAUAUAGGGCUUUUGUAAAUUAUGCAUUUAUUGUAAUUAUCAUUAAUUUUUUAAUAAUAAUCGGCGAGAGAGAAGAGGAUUUUACUGCAUUUGCAUUUGUAAGAUCAUCAUGACAUGGUGCGCGUUAUCCUGACAAAUGUAACCAGCUCUACAACAAUCAUUUUGAAACAAGCAGACUUAAUUUCAAGCAAUUGUGUUUUAAUGACUGACCUUACUCUACUUUUUCUAGCAAGAAAUGCUUUAUUCUGCAGCGUGAACAGACUGAAAGUACCUGGCGUUAAAUAUGAGCUUCUGAUAAAAUUUGGGCUGAAGGGGCCGUCAGAACUGUGAGCAUCUCUGGUGGCUCUCAGUAGCUUGCAGAGCUCGUCCCUGGGGACCCGCACGGCUUGUCCUCAGCGCCCGGCACGAGCCCCAGCCGGGAGCACUUCUCUCGGCCGCAGGAAGGGCUGGGGGGCUCUCUGGGCUCUACCCCUACGGGCGGACGCGGGCCCCCGCCCCGCUGCUCUUUGAGGACCAAGCAGGAAGCACCGCGCUCUGCAGGGACGCUGGUGCGGGAAGAGGAAGGCGGGGGCUCCCGGAAACCAGGAAACCACGCAGUGCGACUCUACUAAAGGCCUUAUUUUUUCUUAUGUAAAUCAUCCUUUUACAUUUGUUUGUAAACAUGCUGAAAGGAGGGACCUAGUGGUACAUUUUUAGCUUUUGACGAUAUAGCCGUUUUGGACUGUCUAAGUAGCAGAUGUAACUUUUCCUUUUUAAAUGGCACAUUAAAGAGCCAGCAGGAAAUGUGUUCCGACCACGGUGCGUUAUUUAUUAUACAGCUCAUUUUGUCGGUGGACGGCGUGUCUCUUUACAUUCGGUUUCUGCUUUUAACUUCCUUGUACGAUUUGUUGUUACACUCUGUUUUCUGUUAAUCUUUUGUGAACUUCCUGAUUAUGUAACAAAGUAUGUACAGUCUCCUUUUGAACUAUUUUUAUCACAGUAUUAUUUAUUGCUUUCUUUCAAUAAAGUACUGAGGCGUUUUCCACUGCCAAUAAAGGA